This 442-nucleotide ribosomal RNA is filed under the name uncultured prokaryote. RNAcentral describes it as "partial 16S ribosomal RNA". The record is from RNAcentral.
CCCUACGGGGUGCAGCUGCUUAAGGAAAAGCACUUCGAUCUGCUUAUCACAGAUUUAAAAAUGCCGAAAAUAAGCGGGCUUGAGGUGUUGCUGCGGGCAAAACAGCUUAAGCCUGAUAUUGCCGUAAUAGUCAUAACCGCAUACGGCACGGUGGAAACCGCGAUUGAGGCCAUAAAAAACGGCGCCAGCGAUUAUAUUCAAAAACCGUUUCAGAACGAGGAGUUUAAGCUGGUGGCGCACAACGCCCUUGAAAAACACCGGCUCAGGCUGGAAAAUGCGCGGUUAAAAAACGAGCUGGCCUCAACUGAUAAAUUCGACGCCAUAUUGGGCCGCAGCAAACAGAUGCAGGACAUUUUCAAGCUGCUUUCACGAUUGGCCGGCAGCGACACUACCGUUCUAAUCCUAGGCGAAAGCGGCACGGGAAAGGAAUUGGCGGGGGGGC